RNAcentral lists this ribosomal RNA (774 nucleotides) under Physcidia striata. RNAcentral's name for it is "partial small subunit ribosomal RNA". It matches the Rfam family "Bacterial small subunit ribosomal RNA", at positions 370 to 1210 of the family's 1533-position model. The record is from RNAcentral. Lineage: Eukaryota; Fungi; Ascomycota; Lecanoromycetes; Lecanorales; Ramalinaceae.
AAUAGCCUAACGGCUGAACCAGCAAUUUGGAAGAAUGUAUAGCAAUAGCUAGUUGCAUAAUGUUAUGCAAUAUUAAUUUAAUUGAAUAAAGUUCUGAGUAAAUUUAGAUAAUGACUUAAUUUACUUACGUGUCUUGACCAAAAUACGUGCCAGCAGUCGCGGUAAGACGUUAAAGACUAGUGUUAUUCAUCUUUAGCAGGUUUAAAGGGUACUUAGACGGUAGAUCAAGCCACAGUAGGAACUAAUCUACUAGAGUUACUUGUGAGGGGGCUAAAAAGUACUAAUGGAGUAGAGAUAAAAUGCUAGAAUACCUUUUUUCGAAAGAAUUAUAAUGGCACUGGUAAAGGCGAAAGCAUCCCCUUAUGUGAUAACUGACGUUAAAGGACGAAGGCUUUGGAUCGCGAAUAGGAUUAGAUACCCUAGUAGUCGAAGGAGAGAAUGAUGAGUGCCAUAGAUUGGAAUAAAUUUAGUCUAUAAAUGAAAGUGCAAGCACUCCACCUUAAGAGUAAUGUGGCAACACCGAAAUUGAAAUCAUUAGACCGUUUUUGAANNNNNNNNNNNNNNNNNNNNNNUAAUUUGAUGAUCCGCAAAAAACCUUACCACAACUUGAAUAUUUACAAGCGUUGCACGGCUGUCUUAAGUUAAUGUCGUGAGAAUUUGGUUAGCUCCAUUAAAUUGACGUAAACCCUCGUUUUACUUUAAUGUAAAACGGUUCACCACUAUAUUGGAUAGGAUAAUAGGGAAGAAGACAAGUCAUCAUGGCCUGAAUGUUGU